CCUACGGGAGGCAGCAGUGAGGAAUAUUGGUCAAUGGCCGAGAGUCUGAACCAGCCAAGUCGCGUGAAGGAAGACGGCCCUAUGGGUUGUAAACCUCUUUUGUCUGGGAGUAAAGUGAGUCACGUGUGACACAUUGAGAGUACCCGAAGAAAAAGCAUCGGCUAACUCCGUGCCAGCAGCCGCGGUAAUACGGAGGAUCCGAGCGUUAUCCGGAUUUAUUGGGGUUAAAGGGGGCGGCGGCGGGUUGUGAAGUCAGUUGGUAAAGUUGGGGGCUCAAACCCAGAAUUGCCGUUGAAACUGCAUGCCUUGAGUGCGCGAGAGGUAUGCGGAAUGCGUGGUGUAGCGGUGAAAUGCAUAGAUAUCACGAAGAACUCCGAUUGCGAAGGCAGCAUACCGGCGCGCAACUGACGCUCAUGCACGAAAGCGUGGGUAUCGAACAGGAUUAGAUACCCUAGUAGUC
RNAcentral lists this ribosomal RNA (460 nucleotides) under uncultured bacterium. Its description in RNAcentral is "partial 16S ribosomal RNA". It matches the Rfam family "Bacterial small subunit ribosomal RNA", at positions 338 to 795 of the family's 1533-position model. The record is from RNAcentral.